RNAcentral lists this ribosomal RNA (110 nucleotides) under Acanthosepion pharaonis. Lineage: Eukaryota; Metazoa; Mollusca; Cephalopoda; Sepiida; Sepiidae. The record is from RNAcentral.
UUACGGCCUUAUCAUGUUGAAACACCAGGUUCCUCUACAAUCCCCAAAGUUAAGCAACGUCGAGCCUGAUCAGUACCUAGAUGGGUGACUGCUUGGGAAUACCAGAUGCU